RNAcentral lists this ribosomal RNA (254 nucleotides) under uncultured bacterium. RNAcentral's name for it is "partial 16S ribosomal RNA". It matches the Rfam family "Bacterial small subunit ribosomal RNA", at positions 524 to 776 of the family's 1533-position model. The record is from RNAcentral.
UACGGAGGGUGCAAGCGUUAUCCGGAUUCACUGGGUUUAAAGGGUGCGUAGGUGGACAGGUAAGUCAGUGGUGAAAUCCCCCGAGCUUAACUCGGGAACUGCCGUUGAUACUAUCUGUCUUGAUAUCGCGGAGGUAAGCGGAAGUAUGUCAUGUAGCGGUGAAAUGCUUAGAUAUGACAUAGAACACCGAUUGCGAAGGCAGCUUACUACACGAUCAUUGACACUGAGGCACGAAAGCGUGGGGAGCAAACAGG